RNAcentral lists this ribosomal RNA (253 nucleotides) under uncultured prokaryote. RNAcentral's name for it is "partial 16S ribosomal RNA". It matches the Rfam family "Bacterial small subunit ribosomal RNA", at positions 524 to 776 of the family's 1533-position model. The record is from RNAcentral.
GACGAGGGGUCCUAGCGUUGUUCGGAAUUGCUGGGCGUAAAGCGCAUGUAGGCGGCUGAAUAAGUCGGGUGUGAAAUCCCUGGGCUCAACCCAGGACGUGCAUUCGAUACUGUUCAGCUUGAGUAUGGGAGAGGGUAGUAGAAUUCCUGGUGUAGUGGUGAAAUACGUAGAUAUCAGGAGGAAUACCGGUGGCGAAGGCGGCUGCCUGGCCCAAUACUGACGUUGAGAUGCGAAAGCGUGGGGAGCAAACAGG